GUGGGGAAUUUUGGACAAUGGGGGCAACCCUGAUCCAGCAAUGCCGCGUGUGCGAAGAAGGCCUUCGGGUUGUAAAGCACUUUUAUCGGGGAAGAAAUCCUGCGGGCUAAUAUCCUGCGGGGAUGACGGUACCCGAGGAAUAAGCACCGGCUAACUACGUGCCAGCAGCCGCGGUAAUACGUAGGGUGCGAGCGUUAAUCGGAAUUACUGGGCGUAAAGCGUGCGCAGGCGGUUUCGUAAGACAGAUGUGAAAUCCCCGGGCUUAACCUGGGAACUGCAUUUGUGACUGCGAGGCUAGAGUGUGUCAGAGGGAGGUGGAAUUCCGCGUGUAGCAGUGAAAUGCGUAGAGAUGCGGAGGAACACCGAUGGCGAAGGCAGCCUCCUGGGAUAACACUGACGCUCAGGCACGAAAGCGUGGGGAGCAAACAGGAUUAGAUACCCUUGUAGUCC
Molecule: ribosomal RNA, 450 nt
Filed under: uncultured bacterium
Lineage: Bacteria
Description: bacterial SSU rRNA
Rfam family: Bacterial small subunit ribosomal RNA
Source: RNAcentral